UAGGUCUAAUACCGGAUACGACCACCGGGGGCAUCUCCGGUGGUGGAAAGUUCCGGCGGUACAGGAUGGACCCGCGGCCUAUCAGCUUGUUGGUGGGGUAAUGGCCUACCAAGGCGACGACGGGUAGCCGGCCUGAGAGGGUGACCGGCCACACUGGGACUGAGACACGGCCCAGACUCCUACGGGAGGCAGCAGUGGGGAAUAUUGCACAAUGGGCGAAAGCCUGAUGCAGCGACGCCGCGUGAGGGAUGACGGCCUUCGGGUUGUAAACCUCUUUCAGCGGGGACGAAGGGCAACUGACGGUACCCGCAGAAGAAGCACCGGCUAACUACGUGCCAGCAGCCGCGGUAAUACGUAGGGUGCGAGCGUUGUCCGGAAUUAUUGGGCGUAAAGAGCUCGUAGGCGGUUUGUUGCGUCGGCUGUGAAAACUUCACGCUUAACGUGGAGCCUGCAGUCGAUACGGGCAGACUUGAGUUCGGCAGGGGAGACUGGAAUUCCUGGUGUAGCGGUGAAAUGCGCAGAUAUCAGGAGGAACACCGGUGGC
Molecule: ribosomal RNA, 544 nt
Filed under: Saccharothrix sp.
Lineage: Bacteria; Bacillati; Actinomycetota; Actinomycetes; Pseudonocardiales; Pseudonocardiaceae
Description: bacterial SSU rRNA
Rfam family: Bacterial small subunit ribosomal RNA
Source: RNAcentral